Molecule: long non-coding RNA, 275 nt
Organism: Apis florea (little honeybee)
Lineage: Eukaryota; Metazoa; Arthropoda; Insecta; Hymenoptera; Apidae
Source: RefSeq, a predicted model, not a curated record
UAAUAAGACGAGGCAGCUGCCAGCUGACUGACACUUAGCCCGUCUCGGCCUUUUACACCGAGCGGUGCGAGUCCUGACGCACUAUUGUGCGUAUAGGGCGCGGGGCAGGUUCUAUUAUAUAGAACCUGGGGCGACGCCUCCGCGAGGCAUUCCCUGGACAACACACGCUACGGCGUGUGGCUAAGAGCGCCUCCCGAAAGGGUCCCCGUUCCUAAUUUUUCCAAGACCGCGGGCAGAUCCCAUGGCAGAUUCGCUAGAAGUAGGCCCGCGACAUA